AGUGAACGCUGGCGGUAGGCCUAACACAUGCAAGUCGAACGGCAGCACAGUAAGAGCUUGCUCUUACGGGUGGCGAGUGGCGGACGUGUGAGGAAUACAUCGGAAUCUACUUUUUCGUGGGGGAUAACGUAGGGAAACUUACGCUAAUACCGCAUACGACCUACGGGUGAAAGCAUGGGAUCUUCGGACCUUGCGCGAUUGAAUGAGCCGCUGUCGGAUUAGCUAGUUGGCGGGGUAAAGGCCCACCAAGGCGACGAUCCGUAGCUGGUCUGAGAGGAUGGUCAGCCACACUGGAACUGAGACACGGUCCAGACUCCUACGGGAGGCAGCAGUGGGGAAUAUUGGACAAUGGGCGCAAGCCUGAUCCAGCCAUACCGCGUGGGUGAAGAAGGCCUUCGGGUUGUAAAGCCCUUUUGUUGGGAAAGAAAAGCAGCAGGUUAAUACCCCGCUGUUCUGACGGUACCCAAAGAAUAAGCACCGGCUAACUUCGUG
RNAcentral lists this ribosomal RNA (492 nucleotides) under uncultured bacterium. Its description in RNAcentral is "partial 16S ribosomal RNA". It matches the Rfam family "Bacterial small subunit ribosomal RNA", at positions 29 to 507 of the family's 1533-position model. The record is from RNAcentral.